Molecule: transfer RNA, 91 nt
Filed under: Achromobacter insuavis
Lineage: Bacteria; Pseudomonadati; Pseudomonadota; Betaproteobacteria; Burkholderiales; Alcaligenaceae
Also listed under: 4 other names
Description: tRNA-Ile
Source: RNAcentral
CGCCGGCCUGGUGUGGGGCGCGCGCGUCUCGCUGAUGGUGGGCCUGCUGUCGACCGCGGUGGCGCUGGUGUUCGGCAUCGUCGUCGGCGCC